This is a long non-coding RNA of Haliotis rubra (blacklip abalone), 1952 nucleotides long. RefSeq lists it as uncharacterized. The record is from RefSeq and is a predicted model, not a curated record. Lineage: Eukaryota; Metazoa; Mollusca; Gastropoda; Lepetellida; Haliotidae. The transcript is spliced from 2 exons.
CAUGCAUCUCAUUUGAGUGUAUUCACAACAUACACUUACAGUAAGGUGUAUUCUCAACAUACACUAGGGGUGUAUUCCCAACAUACACUUACACUAGGGUGUAUUCCCAAUGUACACUUACAUGAAUGUGUAUUCCCAACAUGCAUCCACCUUUGGGUGUAUUCCCAACAUAAACUUACACAAGGGUGUAUUCCCAACAUGCAUCUACCCUUGGGUGUAUUCCCAACACACUGUUACACCAGGGUGUGUUCACAACCUACACUUACAACAGUAUGUAUUCCCAAUGUACACUUACAACAGUGUGUUUUUUCAACAUGCACCAAUACCUGUGUUUAUUCCCAACAUACACUUACGCCAGUGUGCAUUUCUGAAACCUAAGACGUAGUUGUGCUUCAUGUAAAAUACAGGGCCACCAACAGAAUUAAGCAUGAAAGUUACACCCAUGUUCAUACAACCUGUUGUAGGGUUAUUGUUUCACAAUUUACAUAAGUGCAGCAGGUAUGUAAAAUGUAAACAGGCCAGUAACGAUUGGCCAGCUAAACUCUGUGUUGUGAACAUUGUUAGCAUUCCAAGUGAUCAGUUUACAAGACUGUCUUACAUGUCAUGUCAGUGUAAGCUCACCUCAGUAAUACAUAGUGGAGAUGUAGGGUCAACUCGCAUAAGACACCUCCAUUUAACCAGCCUUUGAAAUUCAUUUGGUUUAUGUUCCAAAGGACUAGUGUAAACCUUGUGGCAUUGGUUCUCAGAGUAGUUGCAGUUCCUGCUUAAAGAAGACAAGAAUGUUUGAUAUGUUCACAUUUUCUGUCAGAUUUAUUCAUCACAAUUUAAGCAUUGAGAACUGUUCCAGAAUGGUCAUGCUAAAAUGUUCCUAUUCAACAAGGAUGACCAUCACCGGAGUUUCACUUGUUCUCAACAUAAUUUUGCUUGUGGACUCUCCAAAGCUGGUUAACUACUAGUCAAAAGCUUGAUGGGGUAGUCUAAUCCAGUGAUCGUAACAUGGGCAGAUACGUUACGGUUCAUUGGUGAUGGUGUAGAUGUAUUAAGUAUUGUCUUGUUUGGAAUAUUUCAAUGAUGGGCUGUUUGUGAAGGACUGUGUAUUAUUCUUGUGACUCUUUAAGUGUUUGUGUCAUAGUAGUCAUCUUGUGUCUGGUAGACAGGAAAUAUUGGAGAAUGUGAUAGAAAUCCUAUCAUAUGGUGCCAGAAAUUAUAUCCAUUGACAUGACAAGAACGUGUCAGAAUGUCAUCGAGAAAGUUUACCUGUUGACAUGUAACAUGAGAAUACCUGAGUACAGAUGUUAUAUCUUUGUAAGAAAUUGCAUUUUGUAGAAAUGUAACUGCAUGUAUCAACAGGUAACUGUGGGACCAAUGUUCCCUUGUCCACAAGGACAUACUGAUCGAUCAUGUGUCAACAGGCAACUGUGGGACCAAUGUUCCCUUGUCCACAAAGACAUGCUGAUCAAUCAUGUGUCAUACCAAUGUAGGUUAAACCCCUGUCAGUGACUAGCUUCCGGACACAACUCAUCUGGAGAUGAAAGGCAAAAGAUAACACAAACAUUGAAUUUUCAUGGGUUUGUUUUUGUUUGUCAAUGAACCCAGCUAGUGUAUAAUAGAAUUGAAAUGGCUGACCCAGGACACAGGCUGGCCAGGUCAAGAGUGCAUGUAAGAAAAAAGGAGAUUUGGUUUGAUGUGGGUUUUGUAUCUCAGCUUACCAAGAGCCAAGAUCUAGGUAGUGUCUGGAAACGCCUAGGUUUGUGAAGUUGAAUUUAACUUAUUAGGUCACGAAACAGAUUCCAUUUCAAAGACAAUGUCAACUACAGGUCUGUGACCCAUAAGAGUCAAACGUUUAAUGUUUAUCUUCUGUGUGGAUUUACAAUACACAGCUUCCGAUUGUCUUUCUUCAACUAUGUAGUACACAAUUCAUGUCACUGAAUGAUUAAAACAUUUCUCUGAUA